This is a long non-coding RNA of Sinocyclocheilus grahami, 727 nucleotides long. RefSeq lists it as uncharacterized. The record is from RefSeq and is a predicted model, not a curated record. NCBI's taxonomy places the organism in Eukaryota, Metazoa, Chordata, Actinopteri, Cypriniformes, Cyprinidae. The transcript has 3 exons.
GAAGAGAGAUUUUCUCACAUGGUGGAAAGGCUUUUUUAAAAUGAAUGUUGGCAGACAGAAUAAUGACAGUGACUGUGGUGCAUUUGUCCUGCAGUAUUGCAAGUGUCUCGCAUUGGGUCAGCCCUUCAGCUUCAGUCAACAGGACAUGCCCAAGCUGAGGAGACUUAUGUACAAAGAACUGUGUCAUUGCAAGCUGUCACUGUGAUAUUUGUUUAAAGACUGCACAGCCAAGAUACAUUUGUCCAAAAAGCCUGAGAGACUUCUCACUGAGGAUAUUUCAUCCUCGCUCACGUUUGUUUUCAUUUUGUAUAAACUUUUUGUUUGUUUUCGUACUGGAGCCCAACAUCUUGACUGAGAGAUCUGAGGUAAUUUACGAUUGACAGCCUGUCUUGCCCUUGUGACAUACUGCCUAAAUGGAACCGUCUGUUUUCUGCUUUUUUCCGUGUAUAAAGAUGUUGCAAAACCUCUGAUCUGAAAUGUUGGCAUGAGAGUAACUGUGCUCUAAUGCAAGUGACAAAUCAUGUCUGCAGUUUUGUUCUUAAUAAAUCGUCUUAAGAAAAUAAUGAUCUGUGUACUCAUCAGAACACUUAAAUUAUUAUUUUGUUAGUCACUUUGCAAUUAAUGACGAUUUAUUAUGAAAGGUUAUGGAAUCAAUAUGUCAGUGAGGUAUUCUCCAGUUAUGCUGUGUUCACCCUUAUUCAAACAAAAAAUGGAAAUAAUACCAGUA